Molecule: small RNA, 28 nt
Filed under: Bombyx mori (domestic silkworm)
Lineage: Eukaryota; Metazoa; Arthropoda; Insecta; Lepidoptera; Bombycidae
Description: ovarian small RNA-1240
Source: RNAcentral
UUGCUGCAAAUGUCGGAGAAAUUGCGAC